GACGAACGCUGGCGGCGUGCCUAAUACAUGCAAGUCGAGCGAAGUUUUUCUGGUGCUUGCACUAGAAAAACUUAGCGGCGAACGGGUGAGUAACACGUAAAGAACCUGCCUCAUAGACUGGGACAACUAUUGGAAACGAUAGCUAAUACCGGAUAACAGUAUUUCUCGCAUGAGAGAUAUUUAAAAGUUGGUUAUGCUAACACUAUGAGAUGGCUUUGCGGUGCAUUAGCUAGUUGGUGGGGUAAGGGCCCACCAAGGCGACGAUGCAUAGCCGACCUGAGAGGGUGAUCGGCCACACUGGGACUGAGACACGGCCCAGACUCCUACGGGAGGCAGCAGUAGGGAAUCUUCCGCAAUGGGCGAAAGCCUGACGGAGCAACGCCGCGUGAGUGAAGAAGGAUUUCGGUUCGUAAAGCUCUGUUGUUAGGGAAGAAUGGAUAUGUAGUAACUAUACAUGUAAGAGACGGUACCUAACCAGAAAGCCACGGCUAACUACGUG
RNAcentral lists this ribosomal RNA (499 nucleotides) under uncultured bacterium. RNAcentral describes it as "partial 16S ribosomal RNA". It matches the Rfam family "Bacterial small subunit ribosomal RNA", at positions 28 to 507 of the family's 1533-position model. The record is from RNAcentral.